RNAcentral lists this ribosomal RNA (504 nucleotides) under uncultured bacterium. RNAcentral describes it as "bacterial SSU rRNA". It matches the Rfam family "Bacterial small subunit ribosomal RNA", at positions 27 to 518 of the family's 1533-position model. The record is from RNAcentral.
GGAUGAACGCUAGCUACAGGCUUAACACAUGCAAGUCGAGGGGCAGCAUGGGAGUUGCUUGCAACUCUGAUGGCGACCGGCGCACGGGUGAGUAACGCGUAUCCGACCUUCCCCCAGGUAGGGAACAGCCCGGCGAAAGUCGGAUUAAUGCCCUAUAGUCUGCGAAUUGCGCAUGUUGUUUGCAGUAAAGAUUUAUCGCCUUGGGAUGGGGAUGCGUCUGAUUAGCUUGUCGGCGGGGUAACGGCCCACCGAGGCAACGAUCAGUAGGGGUUCUGAGAGGAAGGUCCCCCACACUGGUACUGAGACACGGACCAGACUCCUACGGGAGGCAGCAGUGAGGAAUAUUGGUCAAUGGGCGUGAGCCUGAACCAGCCAAGUAGCGUGCAGGAACCGACGGCCCUAUGGGUUGUAAACUGCUUUUAUGCGGGGAUAACGUGCGCCACGUGCUGGUGUAUUGCAGGUACCGCAUGAAUAAGGACCGGCUAAUUCCGUGCCAGCCGCUGC